This 725-nucleotide ribosomal RNA is filed under the name uncultured bacterium. Its description in RNAcentral is "bacterial SSU rRNA". It matches the Rfam family "Bacterial small subunit ribosomal RNA", at positions 771 to 1501 of the family's 1533-position model. The record is from RNAcentral.
AACAGGAUUAGAUACCCUGGUAGUCCACGCCCUAAACGAUGUCUACUAGUUGUCGGGUCUUAAUUGACUUGGUAACGCAGCUAACGCGUGAAGUAGACCGCCUGGGGAGUACGGUCGCAAGAUUAAAACUCAAAGGAAUUGACGGGGACCCGCACAAGCGGUGGAUGAUGUGGAUUAAUUCGAUGCAACGCGAAAAACCUUACCUACCCUUGACAUGUACGGAACCCUCGAGAGAUUGAGGGGUGCUCGAAAGAGAGCCGUAACACAGGUGCUGCAUGGCUGUCGUCAGCUCGUGUCGUGAGAUGUUGGGUUAAGUCCCGCAACGAGCGCAACCCUUGUCAUUAGUUGCUACGCAAGAGCACUCUAAUGAGACUGCCGGUGACAAACCGGAGGAAGGUGGGGAUGACGUCAAGUCCUCAUGGCCCUUAUGGGUAGGGCUUCACACGUCAUACAAUGGUGCAUACAGAGGGCCGCCAACCCGCGAGGGGGAGCUAAUCCCAGAAAGUGCAUCGUAGUCCGGAUCGCAGUCUGCAACUCGACUGCGUGAAGUUGGAAUCGCUAGUAAUCGCGGAUCAGCAUGUCGCGGUGAAUACGUUCCCGGGUCUUAUACACACCGCCCGUCACACCAUGGGAGCGGGUUUUACCAGAAGUAGGUAGCUUAACCGUAAGGAGGGCGCUUACCACGGUAGGAUUCGUGACUGGGGUGAAGUCGUAACAAGGUAACC